This 253-nucleotide ribosomal RNA is filed under the name uncultured bacterium. Its description in RNAcentral is "partial 16S ribosomal RNA". It matches the Rfam family "Bacterial small subunit ribosomal RNA", at positions 524 to 776 of the family's 1533-position model. The record is from RNAcentral.
UACGGGGGGGGCAAGCGUUGUUCGGAAUUACUGGGCGUAAAGGGCUCGUAGGCGGCCAACUAAGUCAGACGUGAAAUCCCUCGGCUUAACCGGGGAACUGCGUCUGAUACUGGAUGGCUUGAGUCCGGGAGAGGGAUGCGGAAUUCCAGGUGUAGCGGUGAAAUGCGUAGAUACCUGGAGGAAUACCGGUGGCGAAGGCGGCAUCCUGGACCGACAUUGACGCUGAGGAGCGAAAGCUAGGGGAGCAAACGGG